This 253-nucleotide ribosomal RNA is filed under the name uncultured bacterium. Its description in RNAcentral is "partial 16S ribosomal RNA". It matches the Rfam family "Bacterial small subunit ribosomal RNA", at positions 524 to 776 of the family's 1533-position model. The record is from RNAcentral.
UACGUAGGGUGCGAGCGUUGUCCGGAAUUAUUGGGCGUAAAGGGCUCGUAGGCGGUUUGUCGCGUCGGGAGUGAAAUCCACUGGCUUAACUGGUGGCUUGCUUUCGAUACGGGCGGGCUAGAGUUCGGUAGGGGAGACUGGAAUUCCUGGUGUAGCGGUGAAAUGCGCAGAUAUCAGGAGGAACACCGGUGGCGAAGGCGGGUCUCUGGGCCGAUACUGACGCUGAGGAGCGAAAGCGUGGGGAGCGAACAGG